UGGGUAACACUAACUGGAGGACCGAACCCACUGUCGUUGAAAAGCCAGGGGAUGACUUGUGGAUAGGGGUGAAAGGCUAAUCAAGCCUGGUGAUAGCUGGUUCUCCCCGAAAGCUAUUUAGGUAGCGCCUCGGACGAAUACCAUAGGGGGUAGAGCACUGUUUCGGCUAGGGGGUCAUCCCGACUUACCAAACCGAUGCAAACUCCGAAUACCUAUGAGUACUAUCCGGGAGACAGACUGCGGGUGCUAACGUCCGUAGUCAAGAGGAAAACAAUCCAGACCGCCAGCUAAGGCCCCAAAAUCAUAGUUAAGUGGGAAACGAUGUGGGAAGGCAUAGACAGCUAGGAGGUUGGCUUAGAAGCAGCCACCCUUUAAAGAAAGCGUAAUAGCUCACUAGUCGAGUCGGCCUGCGCGGAAGAUGUAACGGGGCUAAAACUAUGUGCCGAAGCUGCGGAUUACUUGUACGUGGUAGGGGAGCGUUCUGUAAGCCGAUGAAGGUGUAUUGAGAAGUAUGCUGGAGGUAUCAGAAGUGCGAAUGCUGACGUGAGUAACGACAAAACGGGUGAAAAACCCGUUCGCCGAAAGACCAAGGGUUCCAGUCCAACGUUAAUCGGGGCUGGGUGAGUCGACCCCUAAGGCGAGGCCGAAAGGCGUAGUCGAUGGGAAAAUGGUUAAUAUUCCAUUACUUCUGUGUAAUGCGAUGAGAGGACGGAGAAGGCUAAAUCAGCCUGGCGUUGGUUGUCCAGGUGAAAGGAUGUAGGCAUGUAUCUUAGGCAAAUCCGGGGUACUCUAUGCUGAGAUCUGAUAGCAAGCUGUACUUGUACAGCGAAGUGGUUGAUGCCAUGCUUCCAGGAAAAGUCUCUAAGCUUCAGUUACACAGGAAUCGUACCCGAAACCGACACAGGUGGUCAGGUCGAGUAGACCAAGGCGCUUGAGAGAACUCUGCUGAAGGAACUAGGCAAAAUGGUACCGUAACUUCGGGAGAAGGUACGCUGUUGUUGGUGAUGGAACUCGCUUCCUGAGCUGACGACAGCCGCAGAAACCAGGCCGCUGCAACUGUUUAUUAAAAACAUAGCACUCUGCAAACACGAAAGUGGACGUAUAGGGUGUGAUGCCUGCCCGGUGCUGGAAGGUUAAUUGAUGGGGUUAGCGUAAGCGAAGCUCUUGAUCGAAGCCCCAGUAAACGGCGGCCGUAACUAUAACGGUCCUAAGGUAGCGAAAUUCCUUGUCGGGUAAGUUCCGACCUGCACGAAUGGCAUAAUGAUGGCGGCGCUGUCUCCAGCAGAGGCUCAGUGAAAUCGAAAUCGCUGUGAAGAUGCAGUGUACCCGCGGCUAGACGGAAAGACCCCGUGAACCUUUACUGCAGCUUGACACUGAACUUUGACCUUACUUGUGUAGGAUAGGUGGGAGGCUUUGAAGCUGGAACGCUAGUUCCAGUGGAGCCGUCCUUGAAAUACCACCCUGGUAAUGUUGAGGUUCUAACUCUGUCCCGUGAUCCGGGACGAGGACCGUGUCUGGUGGGUAGUUUGACUGGGGCGGUCUCCUCCUAAAGAGUAACGGAGGAGUACGAAGGUGCGCUCAGCGUGGUCGGAAAUCACGCGUAGAGUAUAAAGGCAAAAGCGCGCUUAACUGCGAGACCCACAAGUCGAGCAGGUACGAAAGUAGGUCUUAGUGAUCCGGUGGUUCUGUAUGGAAGGGCCAUCGCUCAACGGAUAAAAGGUACUCUGGGGAUAACAGGCUGAUACCGCCCAAGAGUUCAUAUCGACGGCGGUGUUUGGCACCUCGAUGUCGGCUCAUCUCAUCCUGGGGCUGAAGCAGGUCCCAAGGGUAUGGCUGUUCGCCAUUUAAAGAGGUACGCGAGCUGGGUUUAGAACGUCGUGAGACAGUUCGGUCCCUAUCUACCGUGGGCGCUGGAAAUUUGAGAGGAUCUGCUCCUAGUACGAGAGGACCAGAGUGGACGAACCUCUGGUGUACCGGUUGUGACGCCAGUCGCAUCGCCGGGUAGCUAUGUUCGGAAGGGAUAACCGCUGAAAGCAUCUAAGCGGGAAGCCUACCUCAAGAUAAGAUUUCCCUAGGACUUUAUGUCCUCUAAAGAGCCGUUCGAGACUAGGACGUUGAUAGGUUGGAUGUGGAAGCAUAGUGAUAUGUGAAGCUGACCAAUACUAAUUGCUCGUGAGGCUUGACUAUACAACACCCAAGCAGUUG
This 2205-nucleotide ribosomal RNA is filed under the name Acinetobacter baumannii. RNAcentral describes it as "partial 23S ribosomal RNA". It matches the Rfam family "Bacterial large subunit ribosomal RNA", at positions 753 to 2925 of the family's 2925-position model. The record is from RNAcentral. Lineage: Bacteria; Pseudomonadati; Pseudomonadota; Gammaproteobacteria; Moraxellales; Moraxellaceae.